Molecule: unclassified non-coding RNA, 343 nt
Filed under: soil metagenome
Description: partial contains 5.8S ribosomal RNA, internal transcribed spacer 2, and large subunit ribosomal RNA
Rfam family: 5.8S ribosomal RNA (bases 1-120)
Source: RNAcentral
GAUGAAGAACGUAGCAAAAUGCGAUAAGUAAUGUGAAUUGCAGAAUUCAGUGAAUCAUCGAAUCUUUGAACGCACAUUGCGCCCGCCAGCAUUCUGGCGGGCAUGCCUGUUCGAGCGUCAUUUCAACCCUCGACUUCCCUUUGGGGAAAUCGGCGUUGGGGACCGGCUGUAUACCGCCGGCCCCGAAAUGAAGUGGCGGCCCGUCCGCGGCGACCUCUGCGUAGUAAUCCAACUCGCACCGGAACCCCGACGUGGCCACGCCGUAAAACCCCCGACUUCUGAACGUUGACCUCGGAUCAGGUAGGAAUACCCGCUGAACUUAAGCAUAUCAAUAAGCGGAGGA